GGGAGAAGCACAGGGCGACGUGCACAGGGCUUCAUGCUAACACUGCUUUCCCUUUUCCAGUUGGUGAUGAGUUCAGCUGAAAGGACUGAAGGCCAGUGCAAACAGGUCUUCUGCAUCACGUGGAUAGCAUGCAGAACGAUAGUCUUGCUGUUUCUAAGAAGCAAAUCAUGUCUUCUUGCUGAACUCUGCUGCCGUUUCAAAGCAGAAGCUCUUGUGUUCACGUCCCCGAUAGAGAGCUUUUUAAAAAAUGGUGGCAACUUUCAGCACAGUUAUUGGUGUUGACUGUGGGGUUCAGAACAAACAGCUGUUGUCCUUCAGGCACACCAACAGCUCUGACUUUACUUUACCUACUGCUUCCCUCUCUUUGUAAUCAGUCUGGAUCUAAGGCUCCGUUGUUAUCUAACCGAUGUAUCACAGAAGUUUUCUUUCCCUCGUUUUUGCUUUUUUUUUCUCUGUAAAAUUCAGGAUUUAUGCUUACUGAAACAAAGAGCACUUUGAGUCACAACAUGAAGUGUGCAUUUUUUAAAAAUUAUAAAGGGAUCUUUUUUUUUCUUAAUUUUUGUUUUUGUCUAAGGAAACUUAGUGGAACAUUCAUUUCUGUUUGAGAGGAAGCUCGCUCUAUAUGGACAAUAAAGAUGUUAAGAUCAGGAUGAAUGUCUAUGGCAGAUAAUAGCAAAUAAAAAAAUGCACCAGUCCACUACUCAUGUUUUCCAGGAACUGCAAGAACUCAGCCUGGGUUGUGUUGUAAAUCUGAGCCCCAUUGUUCCUGACUGGGGUCGAGCCCGUCAGAGAGACUUCUUUGUUCCUUUGAGCAGCUUCUAUCUGAAGCCAUGUGGAGCUUUUUCAUCUUUUAAGCAGAAAUGUUGAGAUGCAUGUGUACUGACAUGCUUUGCUUUCCGCUCUCCCAGAUUUAGCAUCUUUUCUGCUAUUUCCUGUUGAACAUCAGCAGAGCGCGUUGACACCGGCAGAAGUAAUCUGACCUGCAGUGAGGCUGUGUGUGGGACAGCCUGCAGUUACCAAUAGUACGUGAUGUGUGCCAUUAAUACAUAGCUGCUCUUAUGCCAGGGAACAUGCCUUGUGAGGCAGCGCCAGUGUGAGUCUGACCUCAGGCAUCCCAAUAGCGUGGUGUGUGUGCUGUGGCCGUGCUGGCUGACACCAUUUGUCCCCUGAGAGAUGCAAGGUGGGUGGAAGCACUUUUUUUUUUCCCCUCCUGUUGACUCUGUUGUACUUUGUAGCAAUAAUUAUAGGCUUGCAGUGUCAGGGCCAGAAUUUAGUUACGCCCUUUUCCAGGUGAAUACCCAAAACCCAGAGACAGACUCACUUUUCUUUCUUUCCUCUGUUUCUCAGUCACUGCACGUUGUCUUUUCACAAAGCAAAUGGUACUUCAGCCAUAAACCCUCUGAUAUUUUGGCUUUCAUCUUGUCUUCCUGUAGGAGCCUGGUAAACUGCUUGCCAGUCGUAGGCAAGAUUUGUUAGCAGGUAAAAUUACUUAGCUUUUAGGCAAGGUUAUUUGGAAAUGCCAUUGCUCAUCCUUUCAAUACCCACCAGGUGAACUGCUUCCCUUUCAGAAUUCCCACAGAAUGUUUCCUGGCCCACCAGCAUCCAGCUUUAAGCUCUAGCACUGGAGAACAAGCACACCUAUAUUGUAUGUGAAAUAGUCUCUUAUAACAAAAAUUACAGAAGUCCCAGAUUCCUGUGUCACACUGUGUUUGCAAUCCUGACUGCCAUUGACAGAUUACUUGUCUGUGAGAACGCUGUGACAAACCAACCUGGCAAAAAUUAACUUGAAAAAUACUUGGGAGCUUGUUGCCAUCAGCAAACCUGGGGUCUUUAAGAGGCCGUUGUCAGCAGCGUGCAGGGUGAAGCCAUCCAAUGCAAUCAUGUUAGUGCUAGCACAGAGCAUGAACUCCUGAGAGGGGACUUGGCAUUGGCUUAUGCUCAAGGGCAAUUGUUGGAGCAGCUUGUGAACAGGCAGCCUGCCAGCUAGACAGGCAUAGCUCUGGACAGCUAAUAGACCGUGUGUGAGUGCAGGGAAGGCAGGAUGCACAGCUGGGAAAUUGGAAGGAGAUUUCUAUAAACUUCUGCUCUGAGGGGUAAGAGUAUAUUCAGGCGAUGCCAAUCCAUGGAAGAGUAACAAAAUGAUUUCUGGCAGCUAAGACAGGUUCUUGGUCCCGCUGAAUCUGACAGAAUGCUGUGGGGGAGAACUGGAGAUGUCUUGGUUAACAAGUAUGGAAAUUAUAUCAGUAGCUUGGCCAUCUAGGUUUUAAGUGUUGUCAAUCUACAACAUGCAAUACUUGUCUAAUGUUUUCUGGCUGCUUACUUUAAGGCACAAGAGCAGACAGCCUCUCUGUAAUGAGCUGGGAUGUAUAGGCAGCAAGCUGUUGAUAGCAGAGCAGAAAUCUUGGUUCCUCAACAAGCUGAGCUUAAAUUAAUCAGAAAAGAUGGCAGGCAGGAGAGGAAGCAGUGUUGUUUUCUUUUGUCUGUGCUUUUUUUUCACCUGACAAACUGAAUUCCCCAUGAUUUUCUGUCUCUCUGCUAGGUCCCCAAGUUCACUCCUUGUCUAAAUUCCUCUCAGCUCUACGUGUGCUCUAGCUCACGAGCUAUGCUCAUCUUUGCAUCCUUCUGUGUAUUUAAAAUCUGCACCACAAAUGCUGGGCUGAAGCAAAACUGAUUUACUGUAAACAUGUUGUCACUCAGCAGUUCAGCAAGGGAUAAUUACCAAAACUCCAAGACAAAGGUGUUCUGUAUCUUUUAACUGGGUUAUGGAAAGAAUACUUGAGUCUAAUGAGUCUGUGGCUCUUCCAGACAUCCAAGUGAGCCUUGCUGUCUCCAGAAGAGCCAGAAAGUCAUUCUGGGAAGGCAGAGUGUGGAAUCUGACACUACAGUGUAAUUGAGGAAAAAGAGGCCAUAUGAAUUAUUUAUGAGCAGAAGGCUGGGCUUACUGUUAACAAGGGAGAAGAAAGUGGCUUCAAAAUUCUGGCUUUCUGCUCUUCCCUGUAAGAAAGGCUGCUGUUUUAAAUUGCUUGCAUUUUAGAGCAGCAGGGAGACAGGGCUGUUAUUUAUACUGUGCCUUAUUUUGUGUCCGUGGUGUAGUACAGGAUUGAGGGAGAGGCAGGGAUUGCCCCAAGGAGCGCACUCCAUUCACUCAAACUGUGGUAAAGAUGUGUCAUGUGUUCUGCUCUGUAACUAGCUCACCCCAUCUCCUCCAGGCAAAAAGUUUCAGUGCAGGAGAGAAGCAAGCAGAACUGCUACAAGCUUGGCAUUUCCUUUGGGUAGGGACAGUUUCAAAAGCUGAGGAGUUUUUUUCUGGAUCACUGAUCCAGCAGAUGACUUUGUCAUGCCCUCUCCUUGCAACCUCUGUCCAGGUUUGGGGUUGUGUGAGCUGACCUUGUGGCUUUUGCCCUGUGAGAGAUCCCCCACCAGCAGGGUCUGCCCUGUCUGCUGCUGCCUUGUGUUGAAACUGGCACCAGCGAUCCAGCUCAGGCAGUUACAGAGUCUCACCUCCCAGUCAUACAGAUGUGCUGUGGUUUUGUUUUUUAGCUAACUAGGCCUCUGUAAAAGUCAGGAAGCAAGAAGUGAACACCGCUGCACUGGAGUUGAUGAAAAGUACUCUGUUCCUUGAUUUCUAACGCUGGCUCAUUGAUUCUUUGGUUCAAUCAGCAGUUAGUGCUUUUCAUUAAUGCAUGCUGCAGUAGUUAGCGGAGUGGGUUCUUGGUAGACAGACCCCUGAGAAAUCUUAACGGGCCGGAGGGGUGAAGAACACUGGGAUCUUACCUGUGGCUCAGAAUUAAAAUGUUAAAGUGAGGAGAGUCCUCACGUGAAAGUCACUCUGCAGACAGGUUUGUGACUACACAGCUUUGUGCGUGUCCAGAGGGGCAGGCAGAUGUAUACCUGAGGGGAGACAGUGGAAAGCAUUUUUAUUUCUUAUGUAAAAGCAGGAAUGCCAUCAAGUUUUCUCAGUCCCCAAGCUUGUUAUAGCAAAGACAGUAAAAGCAGGAAGGACUAUGGGAAAAGAAUGUUUUCUUAAAGGAGAGAUGGGAAUAGGAGAGGCUGGAGGUGAGGUACAGUGCUGGGGGAGAGAGGCAGCCCUUGUGGGGACUGGUGAGUCAACAUCCUCCAGCAAAGAAGCACUGACUCACUGGAAAGAACAUCACUCUGCUGCUCCUUUUCUGCUAAGACUGAGGAACUGUGAAUUGAUAAUCAGCUUUACUGUGCAGGCUCCCCACUUAGAGAGUGAGAUCUAAGAGGGUAGAACUGGAGACCAUGGAAAGAAACAAGAGACAAAGGUGAGCCUGAAUGCCUGGUGUUAGUGCAGAGGGUCCCUGCAGAGCUGGAGAGGAGGAUCCCCUGGAGCAUGGCCUGGAUGAGGAGCAGAAGGUCAGCUCCAAAGCUGGGCUGUGCACCAAGGUCCUGAUGAAUGCCUGUUAGCAUUCACUUGGCAGCAGGGUGGAGGCUGUGGCUCUCAGCACUGCUGCCCCCAGUGAGGCACACACGAUCCUUUGCAGCAUGCCACCUGGGAGAGCUGCCAGUCAGAUCUCCACUGCGGAUUAAAGUUGAGUACAGCCAAUGGGGGUGUUGUUCCGUGCUGAUAUUUAUCUCCUGUCCAGCUCAUAGUGUGUAACAGGAUAAGGAGAGCCAUCAUUUGUUCUGCAGUAUCUGCAGAUUUCUAAAAGAAAAUGUAUCUUAUUACUGCGUAUGCAGGAGGGCUCUCUGCCCGGGUGGAGAAAGGGAUCGGAGUGCCAUGUAGUUCUUUUUUCUUCUGACAGAGAAAGAAGAGGUCUCAAAAGAAUCCAAAAUGGCCCUAAAAGCUCAUUUGUGCUCGUAUUACUACAGCUCAAAAGGUAUUUCUUAUGGGCUAAGCGUAAAGAGCUCUAAUACAGAGUGUGGUGUUCUAAUUAUUUUCAAAGCAGCAGAUGACUCUCAGCACAUUGAUGCAGUGUGCAGCGAGGGCAGGGGCCAUAAAGGCAGAGCACAGCCAGUCCCUGACUCUGGGAUCAGAACGUGUGAUUGCAACUGCAAGUGCGUUGCAAUUUUCUCUCGCUUUACAAGUUUUAUGUUGGUAAUGUGAAAUAAUUAAUGAACCACAGCAGUGCCGCAGAAGAGGAAUAAUUUUAAUGUUCUUUUUAAAGAUGCUACUAAAUCAGUGGGGCAGUUUAAAGAGGAAUGAUGGCCUGGAGAUUAGCAAACUACUACGAGAACGAGGCGGGGUUUUGAGAAGGAGUGAAUCUCAAACAGGCGGAUUCUUUGUGAUCCAUGGUGUGGACACUUGUAUGUCUGGCAUACGGUGGCGAGGGCAGAAGUUGCUGACUUUUAGGCGUUGACGAGUUAGACUCUGCAAUCUUGGUCAGAAUUAAAGAUCCCCAGGACUUGGAAAAGGCAGUGAGAGAUGACAAAGCACAGGCGACACUGUGCAGGAGCAGUAUUUUUCCAUUCCUGUCAUAGGUCUUCUGACUACCAGCUACAUAAGCGAUGUCUACAUGGACUUUUGAAGGCAGAUAGGAGCUUACUCUGGCUGUUGUCCAAAAGAACCAGGAGCCAUGUAGCUGCAGCUUGAGUGCUGCAUGCCCAAAUUACUGUGGCCUGCUGAGAGGCAGGAUAUUAGCCUGGGCUCGGGGCUGUGGCCAGCUCAGGCCGUGGGUGAAGCGAGUUUUCGUCUGUGUGCAGAAAAACACGUAGACAAGGGUAGCCAACGUGCGUGGGAUUUGGAAAUCCAUUUUAGCGAUGAGAGUAUCAGGAUCUGGAGUGGGUUUGCUGCCCACAUGAAGUUCAGGCAAAUACAACUUACUGUGCUCCCUGUACAAGCACAAAGAGCAGCACCGUGUGGUUUAGCCUGAGAGCCAGCCUGCGUCUCAGUGGCCAAAGAAAACUGCUUCAUGGCCUUGAUCCAAAUUCUGUGGGCCUCCAGUUGGCUAUCUCUGUUGCAGGCAUACCCAGGGUUUCUUUUCUGUUUUGGAUGGCAGUGACUGUGAACAGAGAGGGUUUCAAUUCAAUCUUUACUGGCUCUGUGAGUUUCUGCAGGAGCUGACUGUGACACCUGACUACCCAGAUGGAAUUCUGAGCCUGAGAGGUCCAUAAGAAGCAGAUAAGCAAGGCUUGAGCCAAAGUCUUCAGGACACCGAAGGAAGCUGGAACUAUAACACCAUCACAUGGCUCACAACAAGCUGGCAUGGAGGAGAGGAUCAGCUCUGCAUUGCUGAGGAAGUCGCACAGAGUAUGCAGCGAAACAUGCGUCCCCAGGGCGCUUGGAGGCGAUGAGUAUCAGCAGUCAGUGGAACCGGUCCAAAUUUACAGCAAUGCAUUUACAACAGCCAUAAUUUCAUUCUUGAUGAUGGGGGAGCAAAAAUAUGUACCAGAAAAAAGAAAUGUCUCACUGAGGCUAUAGAAAUAGUGGUGGGGAAAUGGCUUGGCUUUGCUUGCUGUUGCUGAUUGCUGUUCCUGAUACAUCCCUCAGUUCUGGCUCUUAUGGUAUACACGUUAAAAUUAGUUCCUCUUCCACCUUUUAGGUAAUAAUCCUUUAAAGGAACCUUUCAGAUCACCACCACCCAUGAUGACAGGAAAACAGUGUUAGCUACAGCUCCUGUGGUCUUGGUUACUGCGUGUUGAUACAAACAGAAGACGUGAUCUUGGAUUAACAAUAGCUAUGGUUUAGGUUUUCUUCCUUCAGCGAUCCCUGAAAAGGAUGCUUGCAAGCAUAAUUUGGUGCUAGAGGCUGAAAAAACAUCAAUUCUAAUGGUUGCAUUUUAAGGUUAACAUGAGGGCUAAGUACAUAGCGUUUCCUUUGAAGAAAGCAUAUAUGCUCUGGCAGAGGGGUAGCUGAAAACCAUGUCUGUAAGAGCAGUGGCUGAUGGUUUAGUUCUGCAUGAUAAAAUAAAUCACGUUGAUUAAGUUCAAGCUCCAGUACCUCAGAUGUUUGUUGUUGCAGAGCAGCAGCUUGGCUGAUUGGCAGCUCUGGUUUAGUCGACAUGUGUUAACAGAAAUUGCUCGAUUUACAUGGAGUACUUCAAUCUGCUGGUUUAGAAGUUUGUCCCACAUAGACUAGCAUUUCAGCUUUUGAAUAAGUGGAGGACUUGUAAGGGUCAUUAAAGGAAUUGCUAAAGCUUCUGUAAGCACUGUAGGCCGGAUUGCUGACUGAGAUGCGUAGCAUGCACGUGUCACUGCAGAUUCUUCCCAGAUAAUGGUACUGGUGAGAUUUUAAUCUGGACGAAGUGCUGGAGGCGACUCUCUUUCCAACACUCAAUUAUCCCAAUAAUAACACACUUCUGUUUUCCCUGUGUUCGGAUCGUGUGGCCUGCUGUGGCGGUGCAGUGUGUGCACAGAGCUGCUUGGAGUGAGGAAAAAAAGCAACAAACCAAACGUAUGGCACAGCAAAGGGUGCUUACACUGUCCUCUAUGCUGUGGGACUUCUGCUGUGUCUCUACCUUGGAUGGAGGAGCCAAGUAACCACCAUGGGAAAGGACCAUUUUUUCCCACAGGCUGCAGAAGAAUGAAUCCUUACUGGUUCUCAACAGCCUUACAGGAAUAUAUUUGAAGCACAGCUUGCUGCUAGGACUGUGUGGUAUGUUGCAGGGGCAAGACUAUCAUUUUAUUGUGCGUAUACAUCUUGUAACCUCCCUAGUGGGAUGCUGAUCUUCCAAAGUCUCGCACAACACCAAGAAUUCAGAAUAGUUUCCCACGGAUAUUUUCUCUGGAAGAAUUUCUUCAAAGAAUUAACUCAGCCAGGAAACGGAAACCAAACGGGGACCAAAUUGCUUCACACAUGUCAGUCUCCCAUUGGUAAGGGAUUUUAGAAAUGGCCACUUGAUGAUUAAUCUCAACUACGCAUCCCUAAUUUCAUUAACAGUUCCUAGAGAUGAAGGGUGAAGCCAUUUGAGAAAAUCAAGCUUUAUUUGCUUUUUAUUCAUUAGGGGUUAUUCUGCAAGAUUGAACUUCAAUGAUCUUGAAAGCACUUCAGAUCAUUAAGAUGUAUGGAACUUGGAUUUACUUUUCAGUAUGUAUAUCAUUCUCCGUUCCUUAAUACUUUUCGUCAAUCUCAAAGAAUGCAAACAAGCUCAGCUGUUUUAUAUUUGUUUACAAUCAACCUUUACCAGGCCCAUGUCAGCAUCGUUCCAUAUUUGUUGCUAAACGAUGGUGGAGUGCAAAUUCCUGAGAUAAAGCAGCAUUUUGUACUCAUUCUUUGAACUGUUUACAGUGAAAUACUGUAGAGAAAACUAAAUUUGCUAGCAGAGCCAGAGAAGGUAUUGCUGCAUUCACAGCCUCUGGUCCUCUCUCUACAUUGUCUGCUGAGAUAGCUGUGAAUUUGGCUCACUUUCUUUGUUUGUAUGUCAAACUGUAUUUGUUGCUUGAAGUGAAUGCACAUGCCCUAGGCAACGCUCAGCAUUGGGUAUAACAUUUUUGGCUCUUUAUGGCUGGUUGAAAGUCUUUCCAUUUUUGUUAGACUAAGCUGUCCUGGAUUUAGUUAAGCUAGUGUGGGGUAGCCACUUUUAUUUUGGACUAAGAGUGAUUUGUGUCAAUUUAGCUUGAAUCCAUCCCUAAUUGACUUGCACUGAGCUGAGCUAACACCUGAUUUAUGCCCUCAAUUAUCCUAUUUUAACCAGCAGCUCAGGCAUGCUGUCCAGCUCCAGCAACUUAAACGAGUUACUGUACCUCAGCUGAGCCAUGGUAACUGCAGUGUGCCUUUCUCUAGCCUGCAGCAGACGUGAGGCUCAGUGUGUCAGCUUAACCUCAGGGGCAAGAAAAAGAGAAGUUGAAACUGGUUUCUUCCAUCUGAGAUGGCCACAGGCGAAGAGCAAACACACAUGGACCAUUACCGUGGCUCAGGCGAUGCAUGGUACUGCCAUUUUCAGGUCAAAUCUUAGAAUUAGUAGGAACUUUUCCAUGGGCUUUGUACAGUGUUAUUCCACAGUGAGAAGUUUGAACGCCCUUCAUUUCACAGUCCAUCUUUGAGAUGCUUGCAUCUUUCUUAAAAAACGAUGAAAACGAACAAAACAAGACCGCCAAUAAUAAAAGAAAACCAGCAGCCCCAGACUUUCACCUUUCCUCUCAGGUAAGACCUGUUUUCUUACUCUACUCUGUGGGAAAGCUAAGAAUAUGUUUGCUUAUUUUCAACUAGGAUUUGCUAAACUGAAGCUAAAGAUAGAAGAGUUCCAAACCUAGGAGGAGUCUGGACCCUCUCAAACUAUGACUGGGGCCAAGGAAACAACAUACCAGGCAUCAAAACUUUGGAUGCUUUUUUUUCUUUCUUUUUAUUUAGUAACUGAAACUCCAGUUCAUCUUUCCCUGCUUCCACAUAAUACAAGGGAAGAUAUUUGAUUAAAUUAUGUGAGAUGCUUUUUCAGGCAGAUGGAUUCAACACAUGGCUGCAGGACCAGGCUUUAUUAUCUCGACUAACGUGGACACAUUUUGAACACCGCUUCUCACUCUGCCAUCAGCCGCCACCACCUCUGCAGUACUGUGACAGCAAGAGAAAAAGGACAGGAAAGUGAUAAAGUUUGUACACGUAAGCAGAAAAGAACUUUCUGUCCAAAGCCAGCUGGCUUGGCUUGGCACUGAAGUGGCAUUUUAGCACAAGAUGACACAUUUAUGCGUGUACUGGAGCUGUGUUUCAAAACACUUGCCCUAGAUGCCACAGGAAGGCUCUGUGAAAUAGUUUAUCACCAAGUAACCAGAGAGAGCAGGUGAGCUGUCUUCUAGACUGGCAAACAAAUGAAAGCAUACUAAGAAAUCACAGCAAAUAUGCUGCUGCUUUUAAUAAUUAGAAUUGAGUGUAUUCUCAGUGAAGUUCUGGGAGAUGAAAUAAUUCCGUAUCACAACCCAGAGGACAACAUGUCCAUUAAUAAAUGCCUGAUGCUGUUUGCUCUGAUACAAAACUCAGAAAUGCACACCAGCUGAUUCAUGUUAACACAGGUGGUUUUUUUUUUUUUUAAGUCUUGUUUUCCGAAUUAGAGCAAACCUCCCAGGAUAAAACAAAUGGCAUCUUUGCCUUUACCUGAUAAAGUGCCUGAGCAAGAAGGGAGGUUGAUGGCUUCUAUAAAUCCUGUGGGACACAGAUCAAUCAUCCCAAGUGUAAUCCCAGAGAAACUGACUGAAAAUAAACCACAGCUACGUUUGUACUUUGGAGUCUGGAUGCCAUCAUAAAAUGCCAAAAACGUACCUUGUAUACUGCCCAAGUUUAAAGAUUAAACUUUAUUUCAGAAGUUAA
Tympanuchus pallidicinctus (lesser prairie-chicken) is the source of this 10198-nucleotide long non-coding RNA. RefSeq lists it as uncharacterized. NCBI's taxonomy places the organism in Eukaryota, Metazoa, Chordata, Aves, Galliformes, Phasianidae. The transcript has 3 exons. The record is from RefSeq and is a predicted model, not a curated record.